This 714-nucleotide long non-coding RNA is filed under the name Pan troglodytes (chimpanzee). RNAcentral's name for it is "lincRNA". Lineage: Eukaryota; Metazoa; Chordata; Mammalia; Primates; Hominidae. The record is from RNAcentral.
UCUUGCCCAGGCUGGUCCCAAACUCUUGGGCUCAAGCAGUCCUCCUGCCUCAGCCUGCCAGAGUAUUGGGAUUAUAGGUGUGAGCCACUGCCAGAAAAACGUUUCCUAAGACAAGGCAGGUCUUACAUUAUAUUUAAAUUUUUUUUAAUGAUGUCUUUUUUGGCAGUGCACAGCCAGAGAACAACACAUCACACACAAGAAACAGUUGUGCUCAUGUGAUGGGGGCCUCAGCACUAGGAAGGAGUGGACUGUUGGCGCACGCAGCAGCUUGAAUAAAUCUGAAAGUCACUACGCUGCGUAAGAGAAGCCAAAUAAAGCGCAUGCUGUGUACAGAGGGUGUCGAGAAUGUGUCCUACGUGACGGAAAGCAGAUCCGUGGUUCCCUGCAGACUGGCAGGAGCAGAUUCCAAAGGCACAGGAAGAAGCUUGCAGUACAAAGAUAAAAAUCUAAAGUGGUUGCUGUGGAGGACAGGGGUCAGUGGUGGAAGUGAGACCGAAAUAGACUCUGAAGUAAUAUCUGGACUUUGAAAUUCUUGCCUGUUCACUCUGGCUGGUCAUAUGCAGAAAACCGAAACUAGACCCCUUUCUGACACCUUAUAUAAAAAUUAACUCAAGAUGCAUUAAAGAUUUAAACGUGAGACCUAAAACCAGAAAAAUCCUAGAAGAAAACCUAGGCAAUACCAUUGAGGACAUAAGCAUGGGCAAAGACUUUCAU